This is a long non-coding RNA of Clupea harengus (Atlantic herring), 1250 nucleotides long. Lineage: Eukaryota; Metazoa; Chordata; Actinopteri; Clupeiformes; Clupeidae. The record is from Ensembl.
AAAAAAAAAAAAAAGUAUUUAUGCAUGUAUAUUGAUAAACAAAAUCAGUUAAAAAAAAAAGUACUAUUUUUUUCUAUUUUGGCCUGUAACACUUCAAACACUUAAUGGCUCAUCUACAGGCUUAGUCAGUACCUAACAAGGCUAGCCAAUGACUUUCCUGCCUUUUUUGCUUAACCGGUCGAGGUUACAUUGGCUCAUACAAUCUUUUUCUCUUUUGGCCUGUAACACUUAAAUCAGUUAAAAAAAAAAGUAUUUAUGCAUGUAUAUUGAUAAACAAAAUCAGUUAAAAAAAAAAAAAUAAUAUUUUUUUCUAUUUUGGCCUGUAACACUUCAAACACUUAAUGGCUCAUAUACAGUCUUAGUCAGUACCUAACAAGGCUAGCCAAUGACUUUCCUGCCUUUUUUGCUUAACCGGUCGAGGUUACAUUGGCUCAUACAAUCUUUUUCUCUUUUGGCCUGUAACACUUAAAUCAGUUAAAAAAAAAAAGUAUUUAUGCAUGUAUAUUGAUAAACAAAAUCAGUAAAAAAAAAAAAAAAAAGUAUUUAUGCAUGUAUAUUGAUAAACAAAAUCAGUAAAAAAAAAAAAAAAAAGUAUUUAUGCAUGUAUAUUGAUAAACAAAAUCAGUUAAAAAAAAAAAAAGUACUAUUUUUUUCUAUUUUGGCCUGUAACACUUCAAACACUUAAUGGCUCAUCUACAGUCUUAGUCAGUACCUAACAAGGCUAGCCAAUGACUUUCCUGCCUUUUUUGCUUAACCGGUCGAGGUUACCAAUAUGCUCAUACAAUCUUUUUCUCUUUUGGCCUGUAACACUUAAAUCAGUUAAAAAAAAAGUAUUUAUGCAUGUAUAUUGAUAAACAAAAUCAGUAAAAAAAAAAAAAAUACUAUUUUUUUCUAUUUUGGCCUGUAACACUUCAAACACUUAAUGGCUCAUCUACAGUCUUAGUCAGCACCUAACAAGGCUAGCCAAUGGCUUUCCUGCCUUUUUUGCUUAACCGGUCGAGGUUACCAAUAUGCUCAUACAAAUUUUUUCUCUUUUGGCCUGUAACACUUAAAUCAGUAAAAAAAAAAAAAAAAAAAAAGUAUUUAUGUAUGUAUAUUGAUAAACAAAAUCAGUUAAAAAAAAAAAGUACUAUUCUUUUCUAUUUUGGCCUGUAACACUUCAAACACUUAAUGGCUCAUCUACAGUCUUAGUCAGCACCUAACAAGGCUAGCCAAUGACUUUCCCUGCCUUUUUUGCUUAACCGGUCGAG